CCCUCCUGGACAUCGUCAAAGACCCAGUGUCCAGAACACCUGCCUUAGUUUUUGAACAUGUGAACAACACAGACUUUAAGCAACUGUAUCAGACACUGACAGACAUUCGCUUAUACAUGUAUGAGAUUCUGAAGGCUUUGGAUUUCUGUCACAGUAUGGGUAUUAUGCACAGAGAUGUCAAACCACACAACAUCAUGACUGAUCAUGAGCACAGAAAGGUAAUCAGUCUAUUCACAUAAGAAACAACAACAUUGAUUUUUGAGAUGAAAGUAUGUUGGAAGUAUAAAAUAAUGCUGCAUAGUUCUAGGAAAGGAACAUUUGUAUGUUGGCAUAAGACAGCCUUGGAGGUUGGAGGUUUAAAGUUUCAUUAAGCCACUGACGUUUGCAGCAUGCAUACUUCUCAUUAGCAUUAUGUAUACAGAUAGACAAA
This is a long non-coding RNA of Sinocyclocheilus rhinocerous, 430 nucleotides long. RefSeq lists it as uncharacterized. Lineage: Eukaryota; Metazoa; Chordata; Actinopteri; Cypriniformes; Cyprinidae. The record is from RefSeq and is a predicted model, not a curated record. The transcript is spliced from 4 exons.